This 520-nucleotide ribosomal RNA is filed under the name uncultured bacterium. RNAcentral's name for it is "bacterial SSU rRNA". It matches the Rfam family "Bacterial small subunit ribosomal RNA", at positions 990 to 1533 of the family's 1533-position model. The record is from RNAcentral.
ACAGGAUCCUGCGGAGACGCGGGAGUGCCUUCGGGAACUGUAAGACAGGUGCUGCAUGGCUGUCGUCAGCUCGUGUUGUGAAAUGUUGGGUUAAGUCCCGCAACGAGCGCAACCCUUAUCCUUGUUUGCCAGCGAGUAAUGUCGGGAACUCCAGGGAGACUGCCGGUGAUAAACCGGAGGAAGGUGGGGACGACGUCAAGUCAUCAUGGCCCUUACGAGUAGGGCUACACACGUGCUACAAUGGCGCAUACAGAGGGCGGCGAGCUAGCGAUAGUGAGCGAAUCCCAAAAAGUGCGUCGUAGUCCGGAUUGGAGUCUGCAACUCGACUCCAUGAAGUCGGAAUCGCUAGUAAUCGUGGAUCAGAAUGCCACGGUGAAUACGUUCCCGGGCCUUGUACACGCCGCCCGUCACACCAUGGGAGUGGGCUGCAAAAGAAGCAGGUAGUUUAACCUUCGGGAGGACGCUUGCCACUUUGUGGUUCAUGACUGGGGGAAAGUCGUAACAAGGUAACCACUUUCCC